GUGAGGAAUUUUCCGCAAUGGGCGAAAGCCUGACGGAGCAAUGCCGCGUGAAGGAUGAAGGCCUAUGGGUUGUAAACUUCUUUUCUCAGAAAAGAAUUAUGACGGUAUCUGAGGAAUAAGCAUCGGCUAACUCUGUGCCAGCAGCCGCGGUAAGACAGAGGAUGCAAGCGUUAUCCGGAAUGAUUGGGCGUAAAGCGUCUGUAGGUUGUUUAAAAAGUAUUCUGUCAAAGAUUAGGGCUUAACCCUAGAUAGGCAGAAUAAACUUUUAAGCUAGAGUUUGGUAGAGGCAGAGGGAAUUCCCGGUGGAGCGGUGAAAUGCGUAGAUAUCGUGAGGAACACCAAAGGCGAAGGCACUCUGCUGGGCCAAUACUAACACUGAGAGACGAAAGCGAGGGGAGCAAAUGGGAUUAGAUACCCGAGUAGUCC
RNAcentral lists this ribosomal RNA (426 nucleotides) under uncultured bacterium. RNAcentral describes it as "bacterial SSU rRNA". It matches the Rfam family "Bacterial small subunit ribosomal RNA", at positions 354 to 796 of the family's 1533-position model. The record is from RNAcentral.